UACAGAGGGUGCGAGCGUUAAUCGGAAUUACUGGGCGUAAAGCGCGCGUAGGCGGCUUUGCAAGUCGGGUGUGAAAUCCCCAGGCUUAACCUGGGAACUGCAUUCGAGACUGCAUUGCUAGAGUAUGGGAGAGGGAAGUGGAAUUUCAGGUGUAGCGGUGAAAUGCGUAGAUAUCUGAAGGAACAUCAGUGGCGAAAGCGACUUCCUGGACCAAUACUGACGCUCAUGUGCGAAAAGCGUGGGGGAGCAAACAGG
RNAcentral lists this ribosomal RNA (255 nucleotides) under uncultured bacterium. RNAcentral's name for it is "partial 16S ribosomal RNA". It matches the Rfam family "Bacterial small subunit ribosomal RNA", at positions 524 to 776 of the family's 1533-position model. The record is from RNAcentral.